GGAUCAUUACAAGAAGCCGAAAGGCUACUUCAAACCAUCGCGAACUCGUCCAAGUUGCUUCGGCGGCGCGGCACCCCUUAACGGGGGCGCCGCAGCCCUGCCUCUCCGGAGGUUCGGGGCGCCCGCCGGAGGUACGAAACUCUGUAUUAUAGUGGCAUCUCUGAGUAUAAAACAAAUAAGUUAAAACUUUCAACAACGGAUCUCUUGGUUCUGGCAUCGAUGAAGAACGCAGCGAAAUGCGAUAAGUAAUGUGAAUUGCAGAAUUCAGUGAAUCAUCGAAUCUUUGAACGCACAUUGCGCCCGGUAGUACUCUACCGGGCAUGCCUGUUCGAGCGUCAUUUCAACCCUCAAGCCCUGCUUGGUGUUGGGGCCCUACGGCUGCCGUAGGCCCUGAAAGGAAGUGGCGGGCUCGCUACAACUCCGAGCGUAGUAAUUCAUUAUCUCGCUAGGGAGGUUGCGGCGUGCUCCUGCCGUUAAAGACCCAUCUUUAACCAAGGUUGACCUCGGAUCAGGUAGGAAUACCCGCUGAACUUAAGCAUAUCAAUAAGCGGAGGAAAAGAAACCAACAGGGAUUGCCCUAGUAACGGCGAGUGAAGCGGCAACAGCUCAAAUUUGAAAUCUGGCUUCGGCCCGAGUUGUAAUUUGUAGAGGAUGCUUUUGGUGAGGUGCCUUCUGAGUUCCCUGGAACGGGACGCCAGAGAGGGUGAGAGCCCCGUAUAGUCGGCCACCGAUCCUUUGUAAAGCUCCUUCGACGAGUCGAGUAGUUUGGGAAUGCUGCUCAAAAUGGGAGGUAUAUCUCUUCUAAAGCUAAAUAUAGGCCAGAGACCGAUAGCGCACAAGUAGAGUGAUCGAAAGAUGAAAAGCACUUUGAAAAGAGGGUUAAAUAGCACGUGAAAUUGUUGAAAGGGAAGCGCUUGUGACCAGACUUGUGCCGGGCUGAUCAUCCAGUGUUCUCACUGGUGCACUCGACCCGGCUCAGGCCAGCGUCGGUUUUCGUGGGGGGAUAAAAGCUUCGGGAACGUGGCACCUUCGGGUGUGUUAUAGCCCGUUGCUUAAUACCUCCGUGGAGACCGA
Molecule: ribosomal RNA, 1074 nt
Filed under: Sordariomycetes sp. genotype 3
Lineage: Eukaryota; Fungi; Ascomycota; Sordariomycetes
Also listed under: 2 other names
Description: eukaryotic LSU rRNA
Rfam family: Eukaryotic large subunit ribosomal RNA (bases 499-1074)
Source: RNAcentral